This 1973-nucleotide long non-coding RNA is filed under the name Mus caroli (Ryukyu mouse). Its description in RNAcentral is "lncRNA (MGP_CAROLIEiJ_G0004912.1)". The stretch from base 513 to 614 matches the Rfam family "Maternally expressed 3 conserved region 2". Lineage: Eukaryota; Metazoa; Chordata; Mammalia; Rodentia; Muridae. The record is from RNAcentral.
CGAAGAGCUGGAAUAGAGCUCGCCUCGGCUCUGCUGGCCUUGGCUGCAGCUCUUCCAGAAAACCCCGGGCUCCCGCAGAAGAAUCUCUUACCUGGCUCUCUCUUCAGGGAUGACAUCAUCGGCUCACACCAGUUUUCCAGGACCACCUUCUGGAUGCCAAGGCUGCUGCUCGAGUACCUGCUGUGCACCUCUACCUCCUGAGCCAAGGAGCAUGGAUUCCAGGAACGCACUACCAUACAGAGCAACUCCUUGUGGACCCCUCUGGGAUCAGGACAGCGAGGGACAAGCGACAAAGAGGACCAUCAGUGGCCAGCUAGUCUCUCUGGGGUUCAAACCUUGAACCAGUGCCCUAGUGAGGGGGCACUGGCCAUGGCCCUUGACCUUUGCUCUGCUUGUGUCUUGAGUCUGAGUCCUUUCCUGUACAUCUGUGCUUGUGUUCAUCUGCUAGUGAACUGGAGUGCUGCCCUCCCCGAGGGGGGUCGUCCCUUGUGACUGACCAUGCUGUCCUAACAAUGUCCUGAGCAAAAGGGUCCCUUUGGGAACCUCUCAGGAGGGGGACCCGGGUCAGGGGCGACCAGCAUCUUGCUGGCAACUCCGUGGGUGGGGUGGGGUGCUUCCUUCUGGAAUGAGCACGUGGCUGACCCCCAAAGGCAUGUCCCCUCCCCCUCCUCCACCCACCUUCUCGGAGAUGUCCCUUUUGGGGUAGUGGGGACAUUAGGAGCAACCUCCUAGGGUUGUUGUGAGAAUUAAAUGAACUGCAGCAGCCUGAGGCAGGGCUGGGCAGAGACCUCAGCACAUGUUUGUUGAAAGGUUUGCAGGUGGAUCUAGUCCUCCCGUUCAUGGCUCAUGUGUCUCAACCAUUCUCCCGCAGACUCCUGCAGCCCCUAUGCCCAGGGCUCUCCUUGCUCCAGAGGUAGGUGGGAAAGAGAACUGGGAGAGCCCGGACUCACUCAUGAGAUUGAACUUAAAUUCACACGGAGGACACUUGGACUCUUGCCACAUUGGCCCCGGCUUCUCGAGGCCUGUCUACACUCGCUGCUUUCCUUCCUCACCUCCAAUUUCCCCUCCAACCCACUGCUUCCUGACUCGCUCUUCUCCAUCGAACGGCUCUCGCUCAGGCCUGUCGCGUCUUCCUGUGCCAUUUGCUGUUGUGCUCAGGUUCCACGAGCUGCCCAUCUCCACAGAAGAGCAGCUGGCAUUGCCCACCGGCCAUGCCGGCUGAAGAAAAGAAGUCUGAGGACCCCAGGACGCCCAGCGCGAGGACCCCAGGAAGCCCAGCGCGAGGACCCCACCCACGACGCCCAGCGCGAGGACCUCACGCACAACCCUCCUGGAUUAGGCCAAAGCCAUCAUCUGGAAUCCUGCGUGGGACCCUGGACACACGGACACAGACACCUGCCCCCAGGACCCUCCAACUGUAAAUCGAUUGGAAGCGCCCUUGUGAGCUGGGGCCUUCAAAGGGCUGAGGAGAAAAUGCAGGCCGAGAGACCAGCUUCUCAAAUAGGCUUCAAGCCUCCAUGACCUGAGCUCACCCCCUGGAAAUGUCUGGAAAACAUAAUGGGCAGGUUUUCUGUCUUCAAAGUUUCCAUCAAAACCUCUUCAAGUUCUUUAUUGUUUAGGACUGAGACACUUGGGGACAGUCAUGGGGACUUUCUUUUGUAUCUGUCUUGAAAGGCCAAAAUAUUUUUAUAUUGCUGUAGACAAAGCCACCUAUUUACAAAUGGACUCUGUUCCGUCGUUUCCCACCAGGAAGACCGUACUAUGUUUGUGUCUCUAUGUAUUCAGGGGUCUUGAAACAGGUUUCUCAUGGGGAUGGCCAUUCACUAGAGCCCAGAGGGGCAGAAGGGGAAGUGUCUACCCUGCCAAGGGGGUCUGGGGAAGGAGGGGGGCUAGUCUCAGAUUUGCUCCUUGUAUGUCUAGGGUAAACCCUGGGAGAAUCUGGGGGUAAAAGAACAUAUGCUGUGUUUGCCCCA